Molecule: long non-coding RNA, 2806 nt
Organism: Polyodon spathula (Mississippi paddlefish)
Lineage: Eukaryota; Metazoa; Chordata; Actinopteri; Acipenseriformes; Polyodontidae
Exons: 6
Source: RefSeq, a predicted model, not a curated record
UCCCAGCACUAAUAUAUAAAUAAUUUAAAGGGCCAUUUAAAAGUGUUUAACGUUGCAUGUUUGUUUUUACAUUUCAACAAUAUAAUUUGGGGAGUGAAAUCUAAAUUUGCAUAUAACAAAUUGGUUCUUCAGGAGCGUAAUGAAGGCCAGUUGAUAAUCAGAUAUUAACCCACUCUUGUCAUGAGCUUAAAGCAAACAAAUAAACAGCUUUUUAAAGUAAAACAGUGUUGGUUUCAUUAUUUCAGCUGUCAGGCCACUUACAUUUCAAGGCAUUGUGUUGUUUUGAAGACACGGAUAGUAGGGAAUUUGCAUGAGAUGAAAAAACAGGACUUGCAAGCUACAGUAGCCAACAUAAAGAGGGCUAAUUUCAAAAAGAAAAAAAAAUUGAUUGCAAACACAGGGAUAAGCCAUCAGGGAGUUUGAUUCCCAAACCUGCAUCCGCUUCGUACCGAGAAAGGAUGAAAUUGACUAUCUCAGUAUUGAAUCAAGGAGCGGGUAAGUCUGUUGCACAUUUCUCUGCGUUUGGUUCAUAACAACCGUAGGUAGGAAUGGAAAUUUGAGUGGGCCCCAACCAAAGGUCUGACGUCACAGGAAAUAGUUUACACUGCAAACAUCGACUUAACAGAGGUCGCCUUCAAAAUGUGCAUUUGUAAAAGCAUACCACCUCAACAUGCGUUUUCUACCAUAACACCUGCGUUUUUAAUUAUUGCAUCAAAAUAGUUAUAUUAUUUUCCUACUUAACUAUUUCAGAUUGACGAAGUUAAUAUAUGCAAAACACCACAAAGUACACAUAAUGGUAAACAGAUAAAGACAAUCUUACUGUAAAACAUUUUCUUUUGAAAGUCCUUCAUUGACGAUGUAAAGAUCAGUGUUGUAGAGCAUGAUGUUCAGGGACAGCCGCUACACGUGGAACAUGUUUUGCCAUGUUGACCGCCGCAUUACUGACUUGCUUUAAAAAACACUUUUUUUUUGUUUUUUUGUUUUAAAGUUGUAACAUGGAAACAUCAGGGACUAAACAGAUCUGCGCCAACUGCCUCGCAAGCUGUCAAUCAAACGCGGCUUGCACACGAUUCCCCACCCAAAUAUUGCAUCACAAUGACUCCUUUGCUUUGAUUGGCUAAAGCCUGCGGGAUUAAAAAAAAAAAAAAAAAAAAAAGCCUAUUUGACCUAAACUUGUACACCCAUCUUCGAGGCACACAGUUUGCAUGUAUUUUUUAUUUUUUUUAUAAAUGUAAUUAAACAUGGCAACCAUCUUUAAGUUCACCUGUUGUUUUUCUUUUCUUCUUUUUUAGAUGUUGGUCAUAUGUUAAAAAAAUGGGAGGCAAGCAGGUGGUGUCGCUGUCGAGGAACGGCUGCAUUUAUAUCACAGUCGUGCAGCACGAGCUCAUUCACACCCUCGGCAUCGUUCACGAGCAGAUGAGGAGUGACCGAGACCAGUACGUUCAAAUCAACUGGAAAUACAUCAACAAAGAUCAAAUUGUUAACUUUUACAAGCACGACACUGACAAUCUUUGCCUAUGACUGUGCCUCAGUCACGAACUACGCCAGUUGACUGUAGCGCCACACUGAAGGGAAAGGAGUCUGGAGAAUUGAGUUCACCAAACUACCCAAAUACCUACCCAGAUCUUUCUAACUGCAUGCUUCUGAUAACCGUGCCAUCCAGCCAGGUUUUACUGAAGUUUGGUGUAUUUGACAUCCAGGACUCUCUAUAUUGCUCCUCUGACUAUAUUAAAGUUUAUGAUGGUGAAACUAUAAAGUCCCCAGUCUUACUGGACAAAUCUUGUGGGAAUUUUGAGAUUAACUGCCAGUGGUAACGCGCUGCUUGUUGAGUUCGUCAGCGAUCAGUCAAUUGCUAAAACCAGCUUCAAAGCUACUUACAGCACUGUAACAUGUGGAGGCACUUUAACUGGUCUAAGUGGAAGUUUCACAUCUCCGAAUUAUCCAUCGGCAUACCCAGAUAAGACGGACUGCACUUGGACCAUUAAAAUCCCUACAAAUUACAAAGUCUACAUAACCAUCACGUCUUUUGAUGUGGAGUAUUCGCCUGAUUGCCAAUACGACAAUCUGGUUUUUAAAGAUGGGUCCACGGCCUCAUCCCCUGUGGCAGGAAAGUACUGUGGUCAGAUCUCUGUCCCACCGUUCAAGUCCACGGGGAACACUGCUGUGGUUCACUUCCACAGUGAUAACUCAGUGACAGAUGCUGGAUUCUACGCCCAGUACAUGAUUGGUAAGCACUGGGUCAUCAAUAUUUAAUAUUGUAUCCUAUCAAAGUUAUUGUUUCUUUUUUAUUCUUACAGCUGCUGCCUAAGUGAACUACGGAACCAGAACACGGAGUGGAAUUCCAUUAUUAUUAUUAUUUUUUAUAGUAUUAGAUACUGUAUUGUUAUAGGUAAUGUAGAUCGUUGUACAUGAAGGAGCACGUACUGUCAUCAAAAAUGUCAUUUUCAAGUGAAUUUCAAGCCACUUCUGUAUUUAAGUAUUGUGUCAGCUACUUCUUGUUGUUAUUUUGUAACCCCAAAGAUAAGAACCCAGGUCAGAGAGAUUAUUUUGUCUCUCCUUUUGAGAAGUGAGAUUUACAAGGUUCCAUCCCUGACAACACUCCUGUUAUGCAGACCUGGCACCAGGAGUGUAGAAUAAGCAGACAGUCCUGUCUUUUCUUAGCGCUGUAUUUUAACAGAUGCCCUCAGAAAUCAUGCUGGAACCUCACGGGACUCUUAGGUCCCAGUCCGAGGUAGUGUAGAAAUAUACGUAAAAAAAGAAAAUAUUCCUGUUCUCAUCUAUACUCAAUAAAGGAGUUUAUUCUUCA